GACGAACGCUGGCGGCGUGCCUAAUACAUGCAAGUCGAGCGAUGAUUAAAGAUAGCUUGCUAUUUUUAUGAAGAGCGGCGAACGGGUGAGUAACGCGUUUGGGAAAUCUGCCGAGUAGCGGGGGACAACGUUUGGAAACGAACGCUAAUACCGCAUAACAAUGAGAAUCGCAUGAUUCUUAUUUAAAAGAAGCAAUUGCUUCACUACUUGAUGAUCCCGCGUUGUAUUAGCUAGUUGGUAGUGUAAAGGACUACCAAGGCGAUGAUACAUAGCCGACCUGAGAGGGUGAUCGGCCACACUGGGACUGAGACACGGCCCAGACUCCUACGGGAGGCAGCAGUAGGGAAUCUUCGGCAAUGGGGGCAACCCUGACCGAGCAACGCCGCGUGAGUGAAGAAGGUUUUCGGAUCGUAAAACUCUGUUGUUAGAGAAGAACGCUAAGUAGAGUGGG
This 451-nucleotide ribosomal RNA is filed under the name uncultured bacterium. RNAcentral describes it as "bacterial SSU rRNA". It matches the Rfam family "Bacterial small subunit ribosomal RNA", at positions 28 to 465 of the family's 1533-position model. The record is from RNAcentral.